RNAcentral lists this ribosomal RNA (323 nucleotides) under uncultured eukaryote. Its description in RNAcentral is "partial 18S ribosomal RNA". It matches the Rfam family "Eukaryotic small subunit ribosomal RNA", at positions 1470 to 1796 of the family's 1831-position model. The record is from RNAcentral.
CCCUUAGAUGUUCUGGGCCGCACGCGUGCUACACUGAGUGGAUCAGCGGGUCAGGUUGCGCGAAAGCGUUUCCUAAUCUUUAAAUCCGCUCGUGAUGGGGAUUGACGGUUGCAAUUUUCUGUCAUGAACGAGGAAUACCUUGUAAGCGCGGGUCAUCAUCCCGUGCUGAAUACGUCCCUGCCCUUUGUACACACCGCCCGUCGCUCCUACCGAUUGAAUGAUCCGAUGAAUAUCAUGGAUUGAGGAUUAUAGCAGGUUCGCCUGUCUUGAUCUUCGAGAAGUGAAGUAAAUCUUAUCAUUUAGAGGAAGGAGAAGUCGUAACA